RNAcentral lists this long non-coding RNA (360 nucleotides) under Drosophila guanche. The record is from RNAcentral. Lineage: Eukaryota; Metazoa; Arthropoda; Insecta; Diptera; Drosophilidae.
UCUAAAUUGAUAAUUUUUUUUUUGUUGGUUUGUAUUUUUGUGCCUGAAAGUUUCACCAACGAAAUCCGUAUGCAGCCUCAACAUAUCGAAUCGAAUCGAAUUAUUUUCUCAUUUCCCCCCACCCACCAAGUGGCACACGCUCUCCGUCUCCCUCUCUCGCUGUGUAAUAUUCCCAUUCGAGAGAAGCUUUUAGUGAGCAAAAGUUGGCGUUGCGGUCGCUAAAGUUGAAGCUGAAAGAGAAUCGGUUUAUAAUGCCUCUGGUGACCUUGAUCCGUGCACCAACAAAGUUUCCGCUUUCUUCGUCGCUAACACACAGUUCAGUCUCCCUCUCCCUCUCCCUCUCUCUCGCUAUCUUUUGGC